CGUGUUCACAGCGCACCUUGAU
RNAcentral lists this microRNA (22 nucleotides) under Scyliorhinus torazame (cloudy catshark). RNAcentral describes it as "Sto-Mir-124-P4-v1_5p* (star (passenger))". Lineage: Eukaryota; Metazoa; Chordata; Chondrichthyes; Carcharhiniformes; Scyliorhinidae. The record is from RNAcentral.